RNAcentral lists this long non-coding RNA (663 nucleotides) under Rattus norvegicus (Norway rat). Its description in RNAcentral is "long non-coding RNA NONRATT029817". The record is from RNAcentral. Lineage: Eukaryota; Metazoa; Chordata; Mammalia; Rodentia; Muridae.
AUAGCAGCUCCUGACCUUGGUCUGACUUCAAGCAUCACCACUCGACCGGUAGACUUCGCAAACAACUGUGCCAUCGCCCUGGUCCUCCCGCUUAGCAAAUGACACAGCCAGCAACACAGUUCCCCAGUGUGGCUGGAGAAACCACUCGGCAGUUAAGAGCACUUACUGCUCUUGCAGAAGAAUGGAUUUGGUUCCCAGCACCCAGUGGGACCUCCUCACACUGCUGGGAGCAGUGGUGCACAAAUACACAUGCAGGCAAACAUACAUACCAAGAAAAGGUUAUCCGUUCCUCAAGCCACAAGGUCCUUUCUCACACUGCCCUCACCACAGCAAUGGUCUGCAUCAGCUAGUUACUACUCUCACUCCAUUACCACCAUCUGCAGUUCAUCCAUGCCCCCAAUUUCAGCCUCCAUACACUAGCUGGCAGAUUCGCCAGAUUCAUUCCUUCCCAGCUAUCAAGACUGCAAAAUUUUAUCAGUCUACUGAAAAAUUCUAACGGGGCAUGGUGGCUCAUGCCUUUAAUCCUGUGCACGGGAGGCAGAGGCAGGUGGACCAAUCUGAGUUUGAGUCCGGCCUGGUCUACAGAGGGGGUGCCAGGGCAGCCAUGGAACCCUGUUUCAAAAAGACAUAAAAAUAAAAAUCUAUCACCUACAGAGUCUAAAA